GAAGAGGCAACAUAGGCAGCUGUCAAAUUUCGGCAAAUACCGUAGGUUUGGCUGGAGAGAGCGGAGAUAGCUUCCCAGCUAGAUCAACUCGACGCCAGCUUUCUUUUCCAAUUUGGCUGUCCACAAGGUUAGUUCAAAGUUAAACGGAACCAGGAGCAGGUAUAUACGGGAAAACUGGCGAAAGAAUCUUAUAAAGGAAUACAUCUACAGGCAGCGCUGAAUCCAGUUUCAGGGUUUGGCGCUAAAUAUAUAGCGCAAGUGCGAGCCAAACGGACGGCUUAACAUCGAGCCAGGUGGCAGACAUUUUCCUCGGAGAACGACGGAUCGCUCAGCCCAGGGAGAAACGAAACGGCGGCUCGAAACUCCCGUAGCGAGGAGCUGCAUUUAGCUGAUUACUAAUUAAUAACCUUUGAAUUAGGCCUCUGAAUGGCAGAAAAGGGUUGCAAGCAGGCAUAGAUACGUCCCAAUUAGGAAUCGCGGCAGCACACAAUUUCUUUUCCAUUUCGGCGGACUCUUAUUUUUGGUUAAUUACUCUUAGAGAGCCAUCGAUGACGUAGAAAUCUCCACGUUCCAUUUUGUCGCCAUGUUCCCCUUGCGCACUUAAAGAAGGGAACGAGAAGAGGAGGAACGAAAAGGAGAGGGGAGAAUAACCAAGUCCAGCAGUUGCAAUCGCGGUUUCUUGUUCGGCGGGCGAGCAAAAGUUUUGUCGCGCGGUCUGGCCGUAAUUUGGUGAAUCCGACCAGAGGAAAAUCCGAAGAUCGACGGCGCGGGAAAAACCCCCUUAGUGAGCGAGAAGGCCGGAAAAUAGUGGAGAGAUUUUUUUUUGUAUAGUGGAAUAAGUUAUUAUGUAAAUGAAAAGUGGCAGUGCGAAGGAGAGAGGGAAAGAUAAGGAAAAGAGUCCAUCAUUUUUUUUAGUGUCCCUUAUGUGCUCCGUCUUCUUCUUCCUUUUUUUUUGUUUCUUUUGUUCAGUUUUAGCAAGCCUAUGAUUAAGCAAUAAGGCACAGUGGGUCAAAGACCAAUACAGAGAGUGAAAAAUAUUUAAGUUUUCCACAGGUGCGGCAGACUCCAACGGAAGCGCUUUCGUCGGUGGAACUCCGGAUUGUUGCCCUCAACCAAUUCUUGUCGCUGCACGCGAAGUUAUUUGAAUAUUUAGAGGAAGAUCAGGCUGAGGUAUAGGGACAAGACCACCACCCCAAAUAGCCGACAAGGAGCAGCUGGACCAUUGCGCGUGCGUCCCAAAUACCUCCCAUCACCACCCAAGCCGAGUAGCAAUCCGUUACAGUAAUAAUUAUCUU
This is a long non-coding RNA of Drosophila santomea, 1295 nucleotides long. RefSeq lists it as uncharacterized. The record is from RefSeq and is a predicted model, not a curated record. Lineage: Eukaryota; Metazoa; Arthropoda; Insecta; Diptera; Drosophilidae. The transcript has 3 exons.